Molecule: ribosomal RNA, 254 nt
Filed under: uncultured bacterium
Lineage: Bacteria
Description: partial 16S ribosomal RNA
Rfam family: Bacterial small subunit ribosomal RNA
Source: RNAcentral
UACGGGGGGAGCAAGCGUUGUUCGGAUUUACUGGGCGUAAAGGGCGCGUAGGCGGUCAGCACAAGUCAGUUGUGAAAUCUCCGGGCUUAACUCGGAAAGGUCAACUGAUACUGUGCUACUAGAGUGCAGAAGGGGCAACUGGAAUUCUCGGUGUAGCGGUGAAAUGCGUAGAGAUCCGGAGGAACACCGAAGGCGAAGGCAGUGUCCUGGCUGGUGACUGACGCUGAGGUGCGAAAGCUAGGGGAGCGAACGGG